UAAGCUGUUCCUCUCAUCGCUCUUUGUUUUUAAUAAAGGGAGGAAAGUCCGGACACCACAGAGCACCAUGCUUCCUAACGGGAAGGCCCGCUUCGGCGGGACAGCCAGUGCAACAGAAAUUAUACCGCCACGGCCUUGUGCCGGGGUAAGGGUGAAAUUGUGAGGUAAGAGCUCACAGCUGCCGGAGGUGACUCCGCAGAAGGUAAACCUCAUGGGGUGCAAAGCCACGUAUACCGGCUUAGGGCUGCUCGCCCAUGCCGGGGGGUAGGCUGCUAAAGGUCCAUGGCGACAUGUACCGCAGAUAAAUGAUGAGAUUCUGCUUCGGCAGAACACAGAAUCCGGCUUAUGGGACAGCUUAUUUU
This 362-nucleotide RNase P RNA is filed under the name Bacteroidetes bacterium GWE2_42_42. RNAcentral describes it as "RNase P RNA component class A". It matches the Rfam family "Bacterial RNase P class A". From Rfam's summary of the family: Ribonuclease P (RNase P) is a ubiquitous endoribonuclease, found in archaea, bacteria and eukarya as well as chloroplasts and mitochondria. RNAcentral also lists the same sequence under 2 other names. The record is from RNAcentral. Lineage: Bacteria; Pseudomonadati; Bacteroidota.